CUGCGACCCCAGGUCAGGCGGGACCACCCGCUGAGUUUAGCAUAUCNAAUUAAANCGGGAG
This 61-nucleotide ribosomal RNA is filed under the name Trichodrymonia ulei. RNAcentral describes it as "partial 28S ribosomal RNA". The record is from RNAcentral. Lineage: Eukaryota; Viridiplantae; Streptophyta; Magnoliopsida; Lamiales; Gesneriaceae.